AUUGAACGCUGGCGGCAUGCUUUACACAUGCAAGUCGAACGGUAACAGGCCUUCGGGUGCUGACGAGUGGCGAACGGGUGAGUAAUGCAUCGGAACGUGCCCAGAGGUGGGGGAUAACGCAGCGAAAGCUGUGCUAAUACCGCAUGUGAUCUGAGGAUGAAAGCGGGGGACCAGGCAGCAAUGUUUGGCCUCGCGCCUUUGGAGCGGCCGAUGUCAGAUUAGGUAGUUGGUGGGGUAAAGGCCUACCAAGCCGACGAUCUGUAGCUGGUCUGAGAGGACGACCAGCAACACUGGGACUGAGACACGGCCCAGACUCCUACGGGAGGCAGCAGUGGGGAAUUUUGGACAAUGGGCGCAAGCCUGAUCCAGCAAUGCCGCGGGCGGGAAGAAGGCCUUCGGGUUGUAAACCGCUUUUGUACGGAACGAAAAGGCUCUGGCUAAUACCUGGGGCUGAUGACGGUACCGUAAGAAUAAGCACCGGCUAACUACGU
This 491-nucleotide ribosomal RNA is filed under the name uncultured bacterium. Its description in RNAcentral is "partial 16S ribosomal RNA". It matches the Rfam family "Bacterial small subunit ribosomal RNA", at positions 30 to 506 of the family's 1533-position model. The record is from RNAcentral.